UCUUCUCUGGAUCUUGUCUCAGACUGCUCCCCUUGACUAGCUGCUAAACCUCCUGUGUUUGUGUUGCUGCUCUUGUCCCUUUCCUUUUACACCCUAUAGCUCCAUUAUAACUCUUCUAUCUCCUCUCACUCCUCUAUCCAUUUCUACCUCCAACCUGCCCUACCAAACUCUACUUGCCACUGACCACCUUCACUGCACCUGGAACCUGCUUCAUCUCUAAUUGUCUCUGCUACCUCUUCCUUUACCUGCUCUAAAACCUCCUUUGUCCUCCCUCUUACUCUGUCCUUUGUAGCUCUCUACCAUCUCUAAGCUCUUUUUUAGCCUGAACGCACCAUCCAGUAUCACUCUAUCCUUUCCUCUUCUCUUUCUUUACAUACUCUGUGUCGUAGCACUACUGACUUGCAUACCUCCUCACGUUUACCUGCCCCCACCCUUCUCUGUCUCCUCCCCCACCACAUGACAUCCUGCCCUAAGGGCAUUUAGGAGGGAAGCCCCUCGUGGCACCAUCUUUAUUACCCCUGUUUUUGCCCUGGCUGCUGAGUAUCCCUGAUCCCAGAGGAAUGUUUAUCAUGCAGAAAGCUGUUAGUCAUGCUGGUCACUCUUUUAUUUACUGGGUGGCUAGAAGAGCAGAGGUUCAUCCUGUUGGUGCGAAUAUGGGCCUGAAUCCUGUACAUUGACAUGUUCAGUAGUGUCAUUGUUGGGGUAUAGAGUGGUGCCAAUUGUUACCAGCACUGGAGGAGGGACAUCAGAAUUACCAUCUGAAGGACCACACGUACAUGGUAAAUGAAUGAUACAGCAGCAAAGAUCGAGACCAAGAAAGGACACUUUUAGCCAUGAGGAGAACUGCAUCCACAUGUCAAUGCCUAGGACAUAUGGCAAAUGCUGUUUUAUAAAAGGAGGACCCAAAGAAGCUGAGAGGGCAAACAGCUGGAAUCAAGUGGUUUUCGAUAUUAAUGUUGUUGCUGGAAGGAGCUGCACUUUAACACAGGCCAAGAACAGGGCCAAUAAUAUGGUAGGAUUUGCCAGAGCAAAGGCAAGGCAGAAUUCAAUUGCCCUAACACUACUGUGGGGCUUCAAACACUAAUUCCUUUAACACCUGAUGAGGAAUACCUCCUGUCCAUUCUUUGGAAUUAUAAUGAAACAGACAAUGAUGGCACUGGCAUAAUCAGAGGUGGAGUGGACAGUAGCUAUUAGUCUGAAGUCUGCAGUAUCAACAGGCAUUUCCUCAUGAAGGCUGGUUUGACAAUAGUAACAUAUUUACAUACAGAAAUAAAUGCUGAAAUGAAAUGA
Protopterus annectens (West African lungfish) is the source of this 1290-nucleotide long non-coding RNA. RefSeq lists it as uncharacterized. The record is from RefSeq and is a predicted model, not a curated record. The transcript has 4 exons. NCBI's taxonomy places the organism in Eukaryota, Metazoa, Chordata, Ceratodontiformes, Protopteridae.